Molecule: long non-coding RNA, 1220 nt
Organism: Malaya genurostris
Lineage: Eukaryota; Metazoa; Arthropoda; Insecta; Diptera; Culicidae
Exons: 4
Source: RefSeq, a predicted model, not a curated record
AUCGCAGAAAAAUUAAUACCAGCCUCUAAAAAAUUUUGCGACUGUCUCCGAUUCAGUUUUUGUGCACAAUUUCUAAAUUAAAAUGUGAAAGGAACAAAUAAACAUGUAAAAUACAUAUUCAUUACAUGUUAUGUUUAGUGAAACAUAACAUGAAUAUGUCGUGAAAUAUGAAGGCAACUAGUAUUUUAAAGAUCUGCCUCGGAAUUAUUUUCUCAAAUUCAACAGUUUGCACACAAUUUCUACAACACCGUGUUUUUGUCCAGUGCUCAAUCGAAACCUUCGUUAGAAUACCAUCCAAACCAACUGAAUGGAUUAAAGUUGUAGCCAUACUAAUCCCUUACAAAAUCUUUCUGCUUGUCACGGAACUGGAAAAGUCAAUAUUUUAAUCCAUGAUUAUCGAAAUAUUAAUAAUAUUUAACAACUUAAUUCAAAUCGUUUGGACAAACGGUUCCUGUUUUCGGAAAAAGCACUUACGCUUUUUACGCUCCCUCUGAUCGGUAAUGUUUUGUUUGAUCAUAUUAUAGAGGUUCCUUGGUAACCUGUUCAUAGAAACCAGAACAGUGUUGCUCGAAAAGAUUAUUUUUAUCAUGAGCAAGGGGUCUUUCGAUAUUCGAUAACUGAUGGUAAUUCAUUAACAGACAGUUUUAAUACCGAUUUACCGACGACACGAACUGCCACUCGACUAUCAAAACUGUAUCGCAAAUCUAACUACCCCUCAGUAACUGGUAAUGUCAAAACGAAAUCGCUUGAAAAAAUGUUGGAACUGGCAACACAAGUUGGAAAAUUAUUGAUUUUGAAAAACAGUUACCAGUAGCCUUGGUAACUACAUAUGGAAUGUAAACAAAAACAAAAGAUUCUCACUUAAAACCAAACCACUGAAUGUAGUUGGCCCGCUGGCAGUUUUUUCCAUAAGGUUUGUAAUCAACUGUGAAAAAGAAGCACCCACUGAUUAACUUGUUGGUGUCAUCUGUAUUUGGAUGUGAUAAAGGACAGUUUGUUAUAUACAUUAAAACAGAAAAUGACAUUGACCUAGAUAUUGGCAAUCAUUCAAAGCUGUUUGGUGCCUCUGCAGUACUCAAAAUGAAGGUGGCGCGUGGCUGUUUAUGAAGAUUGAUGGUGUUAUACUUUGCAUGUAAUAUUUUAACACAUAAUUUUCAUAUACAUAUUCAACAGAUUGAACAGUUUAUCGAAUGUGUGAAUAAAGUUUAUGAAUAAAUAGA